RNAcentral lists this ribosomal RNA (137 nucleotides) under Carlito syrichta (Philippine tarsier). The record is from RNAcentral. Lineage: Eukaryota; Metazoa; Chordata; Mammalia; Primates; Tarsiidae.
GUCUGUGAUCAUACCACCCUGAAUGCACCCAAUCUCAUCUGUUCUUGGAAGCUAAGCAGGGUCAGGCCUGGUUAGUACUUGGAUGGGAGAAAAACAAAAACUGGAGAGGUGGGGGUGAAAAACAAAGGUUACACAAG